CUCAGGAAAGUUCAGGGUGUUGAACGUGUGACUGAUGAAGGAGAUAGAAUGGGCAACGUCUCCUUUGAACAGAUACAGUUCUGGAUGAGGGUGACAAAGCUUUUUUAAAGCUGUCACUGGUUUGUCGUCUCUUCCGGGACAUUGUUUGGACAACAAUCAUUCCGGGCCCGGGCACAUUUCGAGUGGCUUGACAGUGUAGUGCCAUGAAAACAUCACAGUGCUGCAUGUAAAGACGAGUUUCGCAGGAUGUACGAACUGCAGUGCUGCCAGAACUGUCAAGAAACUUAUAAAGACUACAUACUGGGCUACGUUGGGCAUGGGAGACGAGGGGAGCUUGUGGCAUUUUACAGCGAAAACGAGCACCCUGGAUUCUGCAGCCAGCUUCAUGAAUGGCUGGGUGUGUGAGUGGCUGGGUGUGUGAGUGGCUGGGUGUGUGAGUGGCUGAGUGUGAGUGGCUGGGUGUUGCAUUUUUAAAUAAAGACUUCUGUAUUUGUUUGACCAAAGCAUGUAACCAAACAUUUUAAAGGCUAGUGUGCCAAUAAAUGCCAAUAAAGAUAUUGUAUUAGCUUGGACAAA
Long non-coding RNA from Astyanax mexicanus (Mexican tetra), 576 nucleotides. RefSeq lists it as uncharacterized. Lineage: Eukaryota; Metazoa; Chordata; Actinopteri; Characiformes; Acestrorhamphidae. The transcript has 4 exons. The record is from RefSeq and is a predicted model, not a curated record.